This 778-nucleotide ribosomal RNA is filed under the name uncultured Neocallimastigales. Its description in RNAcentral is "partial large subunit ribosomal RNA". It matches the Rfam family "Eukaryotic large subunit ribosomal RNA", at positions 24 to 629 of the family's 3401-position model. Lineage: Eukaryota; Fungi; Neocallimastigomycota; Neocallimastigomycetes; Neocallimastigales. The record is from RNAcentral.
UAUCUCUGUAGAGUCUGCAUAUCAAUAAGCGGAGGAAAAGAAACUAACUAGGAUUCCCUCAGUAACGGCGAGCUGAAGCGGGAAGAGCUCAAAUUUGAAAUCUUCAAGGUUCUACCUUGACGAAUUGUAGUUUAAAGAAGUGUUUUCUGUUGGAGUUUUGGUAAAAGUUCUUUGGAAUAGGACAUCAUAGAGGGUGAGAAUCCCGUAUUUGACCAUUAUUUCCAGCUUUGUGAUACACUUUCAAAGAGUCGGAUUGUUUGGGAAUGCAGUCCAAAAUGGGUGGUAAAUUUCAUCUAAAGCUAAAUACUGGCGAGAGACCGAUAGCGAACAAGUACCAGUGAGGGAAAGAUGAAAAGAACUUUGAAAAGAGAGUUAAACAGUACGUGAAAUUGUCAAAAGGGAAGCGUUUGACACCAGUGUUAUUUUCUCGAAAAUCAAUUAAAAACGGCUAGGAUUUUGUGUUGUAUUGACUUUAUCAGCUUUCUGCACUCUUUUCUUGUCUUUUUUUAAUGCACUUUUCGUUUAACAAGUCAACAUCAAUUUCUUUUGUUGUAAAAGGGUCAUUGGAAGGUGGCUUUCUUUUCGGAGAAAGUGUUUAUAGCCUUUGGCCUCUGCAAUCGGAGAGAUUGAGGUCUGCAGCGUAGAUCCUUCGGGGUUAGAUACAUUUGUGCUAAGUUAUAGCCUUUCAUAGACAACUUGUUGACUAUGAUCAGUCAUGUAGCUUACUCGCUUAUGCUAUUUUACCUACGCUUAGGAUGUUGAUAGUCACAGCGUGUAC